UACGUAGGCAGCGAGCGUUGUUCGGAAUUACUGGGCGUAAAGAGUGUGUAGGCGGUGUUCCAAGUUCGGUGUGAAAUCUCCCGGCUUAACUGGGAGGGCGCGCCGAAAACUGGAAUGCUCGAGCGUGGGAGAGGAAAGCGGAAUUCCUGGUGUAGCGGUGAAAUGCGCAGAUAUCAGGAGGAACACCAAUGGCGAAGGCAGCACUCUGGGACGUGACUGACGCUGAG
Molecule: ribosomal RNA, 227 nt
Filed under: uncultured prokaryote
Description: partial 16S ribosomal RNA
Rfam family: Bacterial small subunit ribosomal RNA
Source: RNAcentral